GAUGAAGAACGUAGCGAAAUGCGAUACGUAAUGUGAAUUGCAGAAUUCAGUGAAUCAUCGAGUCUUUGAACGCACAUUGCGCCCCCUGGUAUUCCGGGGGGCAUGCCUGUCCGAGCGUCAUUGCUGCCCUCAAGCCCGGCUUGUGUGUUGGGUCUCGUCCCCCUUCCCGGGGGGACGGGCCCGAAAGGCAGCGGCGGCACCGCGUCCGGUCCUCGAGCGUAUGGGGCUUUGUCACCCGCUCUGUAGGCCCGGCCGGCGCUUGCCGAUCAACCAAAACUUUUUUCCAGGUUGACCUCGUAUCAGGUAGGGAUACCCGCUGAACUUAAGCAUAUCAAUAAGCGGAGGA
RNAcentral lists this unclassified non-coding RNA (346 nucleotides) under soil metagenome. RNAcentral describes it as "partial contains 5.8S ribosomal RNA, internal transcribed spacer 2, and large subunit ribosomal RNA". The stretch from base 1 to 120 matches the Rfam family "5.8S ribosomal RNA", at positions 35 to 154 of the family's 154-position model. The record is from RNAcentral.